GCAACAGCACUGUUGAUACCAGGAAACUGUUCAAGCUGACCAAUUUAGCUGUGUUAGACUCUCUGCUAGUGUGUUCCCAUAGCAUGUUUUCAUGUUAGUGACAUUGGUGCACUAUUUCUCAAUGUAUCACCUUUUCUCUUUUAGGACCAUCACGGCCCAAGAACAUGACAUAUUCUCCAUCGAUCUCUUCAAUUUCAGACAAACGUGGGUUUUUGAAAAGAAACCGCACAGCUCUGGUUAGCCAGGUGAAAAACGUGAAGGCCAUUGUCGAUGAUCUGCAGAGUGGAGGUUGUCAUGAUGAAAUGGCUGCCAUCGUGAAUGCCCAGUUGACACCACAAUAAAUGAUGAGGAAGCUCCUGGAUAGCGCGACCAGCACCGGGGCUGCUAACGCCCUGAUUCAAGCCCUCCUAACUCAGAUGGAUGUCAUGGAUGACCUGAUUACUGAAAAUGCUUGAAGAGGUCAAUUGGUUCUUCAUUAUAAUUGAUCUAUUUUUUACCUUUUUUAUAUCACUUUCUUAUUCAUCUUAGCCACCAGCCUGGUCUCAUAGACUAGUCAACUUACAUCUGGGACACUCAGAAUAGUAUAAUAUGCUACAGUACAUUUGGUAUUGUAUGUUUACAUUAAAUGAAUGUAGAGUG
Molecule: long non-coding RNA, 639 nt
Organism: Oncorhynchus nerka (sockeye salmon)
Lineage: Eukaryota; Metazoa; Chordata; Actinopteri; Salmoniformes; Salmonidae
Exons: 2
Source: RefSeq, a predicted model, not a curated record